RNAcentral lists this ribosomal RNA (253 nucleotides) under uncultured bacterium. RNAcentral describes it as "partial 16S ribosomal RNA". It matches the Rfam family "Bacterial small subunit ribosomal RNA", at positions 524 to 776 of the family's 1533-position model. The record is from RNAcentral.
UACGUAGGGACCAAGCGUUGUCCGGAAUCAUUGGGCGUAAAGAGCGUGUAGGCGGCUUGUUAAGUCUUGCGUGAGAUCUCGGGGCUCAACCCCGAGCGGUCGUGAGAAACUGGCAGGCUAGAGUGCGGGAGAGGAGAGUGGAAUUCCUGGUGUAGCGGUGAAAUGCGCAGAUAUCAGGAAGAACACCCGUGGCGAAGGCGGCUCUCUGGAACGCAACUGACGCUGAGACGCGAAAGCGUGGGGAGCAAACAGG